RNAcentral lists this unclassified non-coding RNA (3319 nucleotides) under Pomacea canaliculata. Its description in RNAcentral is "uncharacterized LOC112567166, transcript variant X1". The record is from RNAcentral. Lineage: Eukaryota; Metazoa; Mollusca; Gastropoda; Architaenioglossa; Ampullariidae.
GCCAGCAAAGAAGCUUAGACACUACAGUCGUCAUCAGGUCCAGGCUGGCAACUGGCUGAAGCUGCUAGUGGCGGGCUUUGGGGUCAUCAUUGUACUGGUCGACAUUUCUUACAGACAAAAUUCUUUUUAUAGAUCGUGUGGCUGUUGUUUACCGUUAGCGUCCAGGUGACUGGACAUCACACACCUGAGUGAAUCGGAGAGCCACAGGGCGUGAAGAGGCCGCCAUGAGCCGGGCACUGGCACUGCUGUGUGUCUUUGGCUGUCUGUAUGGUGUCCUGGCAGACAUCUGUAACCAAACUGCACCAAGUGCUGCCAGCGCCCAAGACAGACCAUUAGGUCCAGGCAAAGUGGAGGUCCAGUUCUGGGCCAACAGCUGCACGGAAAAUGUCACCUGCACCUUGUGUCCUCCUAGCCAGACAGCCAAACCUCUUGAUGCACGUUUUAAGGAAAAUGGAGAAUCAACUUGCAUAUUUACAAAUUUGGCACAAAAUGUCCACUACACCGUAAAGUUUGCAUGUAGUGGAACUGCAGUUCAACAGAAAAAAAUUGACUACUAUUUUAACUCAGAACCUGUAAGAAGUAGCCCUGUUGUAAGUACUUGGUCCCGAUCAGCGAACAUCAUGAUGGAGGCCUUUUGUAUCGCCAUGAAAGUAGACAUCGGGUACAUGAUGGUCAACAUCAGAGGGGACAACAUGGACACGAGCUGUGUGGUGUUCCCGACGUGUGACUACUGUAAUCGCAGUUUAUGUCGUCAGCCUCCGUCAUCGUGUGGACAUCAAUCAAAAAUUGAUUUGGAGAAAUGCGAUGAACAGCCCGGCUACAUCAACAUCACUUUGCCCCUCGAUAAUCUUCGGCCAUCAACAGACUACACGUUUGACUUGUCUUACAUCUACUGUGACCUCAACACGAAUAUCAUCACGAUUUCUACCCUGAUUGCAACGACUGGCGCUGGUGAUCCAGUUGACGUUACAAACAUCAGCGCCACAUCCAUGGGAUCUAGAAGUGUCACUGUGACCUGGACCUUACCUUCUCCUGACCCCGCGAACUACACCCUGUACAUCAGAGACGGUGACCCUCGGGUCGGAGAGGCGGGAACAGGAUGUGACGUGGACACAACGUUGCCGAUCAUUAUACCCUGGAAUGUGACCACAUACAAGGAGAACUCUAUCCAAGGCCCCCGUGUCAUCCCGGUGCCCCACCCCUUCUGGCAAUACCAGGUGGCGGUGGUGAUGUCUACUGAAACAGGCAACUCCACCCCUCAGUGGGUUACAGUCAGAACUCUUCCUGAAAGCCCUGGUGCUGUUUCUCACCUGGAUGUAAACACAAGGAAGCUUGUAAAAGACAGUAUGAAGUGUGGCAAUGCACCCUGGGAGUCGUACAAUGAUGUCUGUGUGAUGUGGGAGGAGGUCUGUCCACGUGAGAGAGGCGACAACAUCACAACCUACGAAUACAGUCUUAGUAAUGGCGACACACAUGAGACAGAUUAUGUGAACUGUAAGCCGGGGGAUAACGAAGAGAAUCACGGGAUGCGCCAAGACAGGACAAGGACCACGUGCAGCCUCCUGCUUCCUGUGGACACAGGAUCCAGCUACACACUUUGUAUGACGGCGAUAGGACGGACAUACAAGGGUCUUACCAACUGUAUCAGUUUUCAAGUCCCGACGAUUAAACCAAACAUCACUGAUAAAGAACAACACCAAGCCCACGAAAUAUCGACACAAAGACAAAAGACAAGCUUCGCUCUUUCAUUGACAUCUUAUUGCUUCAUGACAUCGGACACCUAUGGAAGAGUAGUCAUAAAUGGAUUUGUGAUUUCCAAAAAAUCAUGGACAAAUGAAGGUAAUUUAUCUAAUCUACCGACAUGGUACAAUAGAUCCAUGGGCUACUACCAGAUUCGACCAUCUUUUUUAAAAAAUAAGGAGUCAUGUAGGAACAAACAAGACUUGAUUGUUGGUAAUGAGAACUGUGACAACCCACUGUACCAGCCAUACUGCAAUGGACCCCUUGAUCCUGGUUCCACAUACUCAGUUACUGGCUUUGUGUGUACAAAGGAUGGGUGCGAUGCAGUGCCUAUUGCCAAGGACAUAAGAACAGAAGAAGAGGCAGGUAUGUCAGUCACUACACUUGUGCUCAUGCUACUUGGUCUCCUGUGUAUUCCACUGCUCGGAUUCCUAUUUUAUCGCUUCCUCUGUAAUAACAGACGUGCUGACUUGCUAUGUACAAGGUCUGCUUGCUGUAAAGUACCCCGUGAAGAGGUCGUCAGAAAACCAGGGAAGUAACUUUCAUUCAGUCGACGGCGGGUUGUCUCUCUUGCUCCAAGAGUGGCAGUCCAGUGUUGUAAAACACAUUUUGUUCCAAAAGUCAGAAUAUCAAGAGCCAACGAAAGGAAAAAAUAAAGAUGGCAAAGAAAAUUACGACCAAGAGCAUCAAACCAACAGAGCCAAGGACUUGGGACCAAUCUUCAGUUUAAAUGUGCUGCCGACAUGGAGCCGGAUGCAGAUAACAUCAAUGUUUCUUAUACUAUAGUGACUGCAACUACAUCUCAGAUUUAAAUAAAAGAAUGAUUAAAACAUUAUUUUGGUUUUUCUGUUUGAGCUGUUAUUGAUAAAUUUAUUUGCUUUAUACAAUAUAUCGGCGUGCAUAUUUGUAGUAUUAAUAAGUUAGUGAGCUACAAGACAUUUGUGUGAGGGUCUUGCUGUUCUUUUCCUGUGGUGUUCAAGGGUUUGUAUAUCAACACGAUUUCUGUGACCAGUACUUCUGUUUCUUAUCACAUUAAUUGAUAUACAGCUUUCUGUCAACUAAAGUUAGCAUUUAAUUUUGAUACAAAACCCUUAAGAUACACUACAAUACAACACAACAUUAUUGAUUCCCAGGGACAAUUCCAAAUAGUGCUCGUACUAGUAUAUACUAGUAUAUACAUAUACGUAGUAUUAAAAAAAUUAUAUAAAUGUUUAUGUUGAAAUAGUGAUAUGUUAUUAUAUCACGAUAUAUUGAUUAAGGAUACAUUGUGAUUUUCACAGAAAAGUGUCCUACAUCAGAUUAUUGAAGAGUGUUCUGCCACAAAAGUAUGAUUAUUUUUACCAGGUUUACUCAAUCAACAUUAAAUCAAUUAAUUAUUUUAAUAAUUAAUAAUCAGUUAAUAACUGCAUACAAUCAAAUAAUACAUGCCGCUAACAUUUUUUCUUAUAUUUGUCUGAUAUGGCUGUGUCGUCUGACUUAUGUUAAAAUAUAAGUUCAAAGGUGAACAUUUCUCCCUCAGACACAUAAGGCACAUCAUGGACAAAGUAACAUUACUCCUGAUUAUUAUUCUUCUAGGAUA